CGUCGAGUGGCGGACGGGUGAGUAAUACUUAGGAAUCUGCCCAUUAGUGGGGGACAACUCGGGGAAACCCGAGCUAAUACCGCACACGCCCUACGGGGGAAAGCGGGGGAUCUUCGGACCUCGCGCUAGUGGAUGAGCCUAAGUCGGAUUAGCUUGUUGGUGAGGUAAAAGCUCACCAAGGCGACGAUCCGUAGCUGGUCUGAGAGGACGAUCAGCCACACUGGGACUGAGACACGGCCCAG
This 242-nucleotide ribosomal RNA is filed under the name uncultured bacterium. RNAcentral's name for it is "partial 16S ribosomal RNA". It matches the Rfam family "Bacterial small subunit ribosomal RNA", at positions 89 to 334 of the family's 1533-position model. The record is from RNAcentral.